Trichoderma reesei QM6a is the source of this 100-nucleotide transfer RNA. It matches the Rfam family "tRNA". Rfam says of the family: Transfer RNA (tRNA) molecules are approximately 80 nucleotides in length. The record is from Rfam. NCBI's taxonomy places the organism in Eukaryota, Fungi, Ascomycota, Sordariomycetes, Hypocreales, Hypocreaceae.
GCUUCCGUAGCUCAGUUGGUUAGAGCUUCGUACUAAUACUUCGGCUUCACGCCUAGUGUUGGUAAUGCGAAGGUCGCAGGUUCAAGCCCUGCCGGGAGCA